Molecule: ribosomal RNA, 332 nt
Filed under: Vermamoeba vermiformis
Lineage: Eukaryota; Tubulinea; Echinamoebida; Vermamoebidae
Description: SSU rRNA
Rfam family: Eukaryotic small subunit ribosomal RNA
Source: RNAcentral
AUAGCGUAUAUUAAAGUUGUUGCAGUUAAAAAGCUCGUAGUUGGAUUUCGGAAGGUCUUUAGUGGUCCGCCCCUUCGGGGAGCGGGUCACUGGCCUCCUAUGUUCCUAACGGUCCUCAUCCGCGAGGGUGGGGAAUCAACCGCUAGGAUCGUUUACUUUGAGGAAAUUAGAGUGUUCAAAGCAGGCGUAACUCGCCUCCGAAUACGUUAGCAUGGGAUAAUGGAAUACGACUUCGGUCUUGUUUCGUUGGUUUCGCUUGGCUGAAGUAAUGAUUGAUAGGGACAGUUGGGGGCAUUAGUAUUUAGUUGUCAGAGGUGAAAUUCUAGGAUUUA